This 406-nucleotide ribosomal RNA is filed under the name uncultured bacterium. Its description in RNAcentral is "partial 16S ribosomal RNA". It matches the Rfam family "Bacterial small subunit ribosomal RNA", at positions 30 to 526 of the family's 1533-position model. The record is from RNAcentral.
AUUGAACGCUGGCGGCAGGCCUAACACAUGCAAGUCGAACGAGUGGCGGACGGGUGAGUAAUGUCUGGGAAACUGCCCGAUGGAGGGGGAUAACUAAUGGAAACGGUAGCUAAUACCGCAUACCAUCGGAUGUGCCCAGAUGGGAUUAGCUAGUAGGUGGGGUAAAGGAUCACCUAGGCGACGAUCCCUAGCUGGUCUGAGAGGAUGACCAGCCACCCGGAAACUGAGACACGGUCCAGACUCCUACGGGAGGCAGCAGUGGGGAAUAGUGCACAAUGGGCGCAAUCCUGAUGCAGCAAUGCCGCGUGUAUGAAGAAGGCCUUCGGGUUGGAAAGUACUUUCAGCUGGGAGGCGUUACUCGCAGAAGAAGCACCGGCUAACUCCGUGCCAGCAGCCGCGGUAAUUC